This 563-nucleotide ribosomal RNA is filed under the name uncultured bacterium. RNAcentral describes it as "bacterial SSU rRNA". It matches the Rfam family "Bacterial small subunit ribosomal RNA", at positions 361 to 916 of the family's 1533-position model. The record is from RNAcentral.
AUCUUCCGCAAUGGGGGAACCCUGACGGAGCGACGCCGCGUGGACGAAGAAGGCCGCAAGGUUGUAAAGUCCUUUUGCAGGCGAAGAAUAAGGAGGAGAGUGGAAAGCUCUUCUGAUGACGUUAGCCUGCGAAUAAGCCCCGGCCAAUUACGUGCCAGCAGCCGCGGUAACACGUAUGGGGCGAGCGUUGUUCGGAAUUACUGGGCAUAAAGGGCGUGUAGGCGGUUCGGUAAGCCUGGCGUGAAAGUCCUCGGCCUAACCGGGGGAUGGCGCUGGGAACUGGCGGACUGGAGUUUUGGAGGGGGAGCUGGAAUUCCUGGUGUAGGGGUGAAAUCUGUAGAGAUCAGGAAGAACACCGGUGGCGAAGGCGAGCUCCUGGCCACAGACUGACGCUGAGGCGCGAAAGCGUGGGGAGCAAACAGGAUUAGAUACCCUGGUAGUCCACGCUGUAAACGAUGUGCACUAGGUGUUGGUGCCAUACGGGCAUCGGUGCCGUAGUCAAGGCGAUAAGUGCACCGCCUGGGGAGUAUGCUCGCAAGGGUGAAACUCAAAGGAAUUGACGG